RNAcentral lists this ribosomal RNA (753 nucleotides) under Glomeromycotina sp. OTU9 DJMC-2012. RNAcentral's name for it is "eukaryotic LSU rRNA". It matches the Rfam family "Eukaryotic large subunit ribosomal RNA", at positions 51 to 654 of the family's 3401-position model. Lineage: Eukaryota; Fungi; Glomeromycota. The record is from RNAcentral.
CGGAGGAAAAGAAAAUAACAAUGAUUCCCUUAGUAACUGCGAGUGANGGGGGAAAAGCUCAAAUUUUAAAUCUGUUAGGUUAUACCUGACCGAGUUGUAAUUUGAAGAGGCGUUUUCUGAGGGUUUGAUCAGUCCAAGUCCUUUGGGAUAAGGCAUCAUGGAGGGUGAGAAUCCCGUUCGGUUGAUCAGAACUUCUUUACGAUACGUCAUCAAAGAGUCAAGUUGUUUGGGAUUGCAGCUUAAAAUGGGAGGUAAAUUUCUCCUAAGGCUAAAUAACGGCGAGAGACCGAUAGCGAACAAGUACCGUGAGGGAAAGAUGAAAAGAACUUUGAAAAGAGAGUUAAACAGUACGUGAAAUUGUUGAAAGGGAAACGAUUGAAGCCAGUCGUACCGGCGGGUAAUCAGCCUUUUGGGUGUGAUUAUGUGGAGCGUGAGGAGUUAAUCACCCUCAUCUUUGCAUAUUCGUGCACUUUGGGUGUACUUGCUCGUGUGGUAGGUUAACAUCAAUUUUGAUCGUCAUAAAAUGAUUGGAGGAAUGUAGCUUCGAUCUCGUAUUGAAGUGUUAUAGCCUUCGGUAGAUGUGAUGAUUGGGAUUGAGGAUUGCAACGGAUACCCUUCGGGGCUACCUGUCUGAUCUCUGAAAGUUGCUCUGGUGCUGAAAGCUUGCUUAUGGUAUCAAAGUUGACGUUCAACAGGUUAGAACGGGAUAAAUUCGUNAAGGAUGUUGACGUAAUGGCUUUAAACGACCCGUCU